UGGCGAUAGAUCAUUCAAGUUUCUGACCUAUCAGCUUUCGACGGUAGUGUAUUGGACUACCGUGGCAGUGACGGGUAACGGGGAAUUAGGGUUCGAUUCCGGAGAGGGAGCCUGAGAAACGGCUACCACAUCUAAGGAAGGCAGCAGGCGCGCAAAUUACCCAAUCCUGACUCAGGGAGGUAGUGACAAGAAAUAACAACACUGGAAAUUUUAUUUCUAGUGAUUGGAAUGAUGGGAAUUUAAACUCCUUUCAGAGUAACAAUUGGAGGGCAAGUCUGGUGCCAGCAGCCGCGGUAAUUCCAGCUCCAAUAGCGUAUAUUAAAGUUGUUGCAGUUAAAAAGCUCGUAGUUGGAUAUCUGCUGGAAGCAAUCAGUCCGCCCUCUUUGUAGGGUGUGCACUUGAUGAAUUCUGGCAUCUAUUAUGUCCCGUAAUACGGAUGAAGCUAUUGAACGAAAGUUCAAUAGACUGUCCGGUUUUACUGGGAUAAUACUGUUACUUUGAGAAAAUUAGAGUGUUUGAAGCAGGCUUGUAUUGCCUUGAAUACUGCAGCAUGGAAUAACAAUAUAGGAUUUCGGUUCUAUUUUGUUGGUUUCUAGGACUGAAAUAAUGAUUAAUAGGGACAGUUGGGGGCAUUCGUAUUUAACUGUCAGAGGUGAAAUUCUUAGAUUUGUUAAAGACGAACUACUGCGAAAGCAUUUGCCAAAGAUGUUUUCAUUAAUCAAGAACGAAAGUU
This 733-nucleotide ribosomal RNA is filed under the name Sarcocystis sp. RNAcentral describes it as "SSU rRNA". It matches the Rfam family "Eukaryotic small subunit ribosomal RNA", at positions 285 to 991 of the family's 1831-position model. Lineage: Eukaryota; Apicomplexa; Conoidasida; Eucoccidiorida; Sarcocystidae. The record is from RNAcentral.